UACGGGGGGGGCAAGCGUUGUUCGGAAUUACUGGGCGUAAAGGGCUCGUAGGCGGCGCGGUAAGUCGGGUGUGAAAUCUCGGGGCUUAACUCCGAAACUGCAUUCGAUACUGCCGUGCUUGAGGACUGGAGAGGAGACUGGAAUUUACGGUGUAGCAGUGAAAUGCGUAGAUAUCGUAAGGAAGACCAGUGGCGAAGGCGGGUCUCUGGACAGUUCCUGACACUGAGA
RNAcentral lists this ribosomal RNA (228 nucleotides) under uncultured prokaryote. RNAcentral describes it as "partial 16S ribosomal RNA". It matches the Rfam family "Bacterial small subunit ribosomal RNA", at positions 524 to 751 of the family's 1533-position model. The record is from RNAcentral.